AUACUACAUGUCCAGUGGGCCUGAGAGUCUCCCCUACAACGGCUGGAGGAAGUAAGAGAAAACCUUUGUCAGGUGUC
RNAcentral lists this long non-coding RNA (77 nucleotides) under Sus scrofa (pig). Its description in RNAcentral is "lncRNA (ENSSSCG00070016389.1)". The record is from RNAcentral. Lineage: Eukaryota; Metazoa; Chordata; Mammalia; Artiodactyla; Suidae.